UUUGGUGCGUGUCUUCGUGAGGUCAUUA
This 28-nucleotide ribosomal RNA is filed under the name Tricholoma cf. myomyces DAVFD 27812. Its description in RNAcentral is "partial 18S ribosomal RNA". Lineage: Eukaryota; Fungi; Basidiomycota; Agaricomycetes; Agaricales; Tricholomataceae. The record is from RNAcentral.